GCAAGUCGAGCGAGAAAGCACUUCGGUGUGAGUAAAGCGGCGGACGGGUGAGUAACACGUGGAUAACCUACCUUUAAGUGGGGGAUAACUCGAGGAAACUUGGGCUAAUACCGCAUACGUUCCGAGGAUUGCGAUCCGAGGAAGAAAGCUGGCCACUACAUGUAAGCUGGCGCUUUUGGAUGGGUCCGCGUCUGAUUAGCUUGUUGGUGAGGUAAUGGCUCACCAAGGCGACGAUCAGUAGCCGGCCUGAGAGGGUGAUC
This 260-nucleotide ribosomal RNA is filed under the name uncultured bacterium. RNAcentral's name for it is "partial 16S ribosomal RNA". It matches the Rfam family "Bacterial small subunit ribosomal RNA", at positions 57 to 305 of the family's 1533-position model. The record is from RNAcentral.